RNAcentral lists this long non-coding RNA (1185 nucleotides) under Anas platyrhynchos platyrhynchos (common mallard). RNAcentral describes it as "lncRNA (ENSAPLG00000028879.1)". The record is from RNAcentral. Lineage: Eukaryota; Metazoa; Chordata; Aves; Anseriformes; Anatidae.
AUGGACCGCCGCGCACCACGGGAGUUCCCGUUCUGCCUCCGGCGCUCGGCGAGUGGGAGAAAACAAAUCGCUGAUGCCAGCUCCGGCCCCGCACAGGGUGCCGGGAGGUGUCGUGAGCCUGGUCCCCAGCUGCCCCCCUCCCGGCACCGCCGGCACCUUCCUGACUGCUCCUCAGCACCCUGCUGGAUGGGACCACGGGGACCUCGAAGGGUGUCCCCAAGCCAUGAUGGCCCACGCUUGCCGCGAGGAUGGGUUCAUUCAUCCCGCCCCAACUCUGGGGUCCAUGGGCUUGAUGCUCAUCCCUCCGUGAUGCCGUGGUGGCUGGCACGUAGCAGGGGCCAGGGGGUCCUGCUCUGCUCCUUCCAGCCUUGGUUUUGGGGUGCCCCCAGCGCCAGCCCCAUCCGCAGCCACCCCCUGCUCCUGAGUAGCGAACGUGGCAGCGAACGUGGCAGCUCCUCUGCUCUCCUUCUCCCGUCAGCAAAUUCCCCACCGCUCCCCCCUGACCUCUCUCCCUUUCUUUCGUGCCUGACAAACUCCCUCCUACUUAUCUCCAUCGCCUCUGCUCCACAUUCCUCCGGGGGGAGGGCGGCAUCCCCCUGGCCCCUCGCCCCACGCUCCAUCCCCGGGGGCAGAGCAGGGGGCUUUGGCGAGCCGAGGGCAGGAUUUGGCCGCUCAGGAGGGCAGGGGACACGGCGAUGCCUCGUCCCCAGCUGGAACCGGGCGCCCUCGGCGCUCAGCAUCUUUUAUUGCCCGGGCGGCGGCACCAGGGGGCAGCGCGGAGCCGCCGGCAGCGGGGCCGGAUCCUGCCUCGCCGAGCGGGGGGCAAAGGGCAGGGCAGGGCCGGGGAGAAGCUGCAGCCCCCAACCCCUUGCGAGGGACGAGGAAGAGGAGGAAGAGGAGGAGGAGGAGGAAGAGCCCCCGCAGUGCGCCGUGAGCCACCUCCUGCAUGGCACGGGGGGCACCCGGCGAUGCCAGCGCCCCGCGCAGAGCCCGGGCUGGGGGCAGCAGCUCCGACAAAAAGUAAAAAUCAGAGCGAAGGCUCAAAAGCCCUGCCAGAAAUCCCCACUGGAGCCAAGCGCUCGGCCUCCCCGCUCGCAGGCGGCCUCAGCUCCCUGCCCGUCGCCCCGCGCUCCUCCACCCUUGGCAAAGCUGCAGCCGCCGGCGGGCGCAGGAGAUGCCUGCUGA